UACGAAGGGAGCUAGCGUUGUUCGGAAUCACUGGGCGUAAAGCGCACGUAGGCGGAUGUGUCAGUCAGGGGUGAAAUCCCGGAGCUCAACUUCGGAACUGCCUUUGAUACAGCACAUCUGGAGUCCGGAAGAGGUGGGUGGAAUUCCUAGUGUAGAGGUGAAAUUCGUAGAUAUUAGGAAGAACACCGGUGGCGAAGGCGGCCCACUGGGCCGAUACUGACGCUGAGGAGCGAAAGCGUGGGGAGCGAACAGG
This 253-nucleotide ribosomal RNA is filed under the name uncultured bacterium. Its description in RNAcentral is "partial 16S ribosomal RNA". It matches the Rfam family "Bacterial small subunit ribosomal RNA", at positions 524 to 776 of the family's 1533-position model. The record is from RNAcentral.